This 618-nucleotide long non-coding RNA is filed under the name Setaria italica (foxtail millet). RNAcentral's name for it is "long non-coding RNA (SITA_LNC004220)". Lineage: Eukaryota; Viridiplantae; Streptophyta; Magnoliopsida; Poales; Poaceae. The record is from RNAcentral.
GGCCGACGAGGAAGGAAAGGAGGACGGGACAUGGAAGACUCCACAUGGCUUUCAGCAGCGGCGACGAUCGACGACGAGGCUGCCUGCCUGCCUGCCUUUGAAGCGUUCAAAAGGUGGCGUCGACAGACGACAGCGUGUGCUCGGCAAAGGCCAAGCCGACCAAUGCACGGCCGACCUGUCACAACGGCUGGGUCUGCUGACGCGCCUGUGUCGUCGUGUCGUUCAUGUACUGCUUCGCAGAUGCUUCCUUCUCAGCAGCCUGUGUCGUUUCAGCUCGCUCGCCAUCGAACGGGACCGAUGGUGAUCCGUCGAUGUGGAGAUGGGGAUGGCUGAGCUGAGUGAUUCGAUUCCUUCCUUCUUUGCGAGCAUUUCGUUUUUCCAAUGAUGCUGUCUCAUCCGAUUGUUUCCUCCAUGAGAUCAGAGUGUGGGAUUUUAUGCUUUUCAUAUCACGGAGAAUGAUAAAGUUAUAGUGCAAUUAUAGUCCUUCGAUGACCUAGUAUGCGCUUGAUUUGAGGAUCAAAUGGGAGGGACUAGUCCUGUUUCUUUUUUGGAUGUGUUCAUAUAUUUGAUUUUGAUUUGAUUGGGAUGCAUAGGUUCGUUCUGAUUUUUUGUUUGGUU